GCUAAAGCCACGCCCCUUCUGGUCGCUCACCCUUGUCUGUCGCCGGUAUCGAGCAUUUCGUGCGUUGUGUGGUUGGAGUGUUGUGCCACUACGUACUGAGGCUGAGCACCUGUGGUGGGGACGUGGUGUCGUUGGAGGUGGUACCCCCCCACCCCACACCCCUGUGUGAUGUGUGAACCCUGGGUAUUUUUUUUUUUGUUUAAUCCUUCACGUGUGUGCGUGUGAUUUUUCCUCAUUCACCUGGUGACCUCUCCCUGGGCCCUGUUCCUCCCCUCCGGUGACACAUCCUGCCACAUGAUGCUUCUUCAGGCUGGAUUCUUGCUGAUGACCAUCUCUAGCGGAAGAUAUGUGAAGUUAUUCCAAACAGAAACUUAAAUGUGCAGACGUCCGUUUCCUGGAAAUAUCCUGUGAAGGUAAAGCCCCUCCUUCGUGCAGAG
Molecule: long non-coding RNA, 437 nt
Organism: Amphiprion ocellaris (clown anemonefish)
Lineage: Eukaryota; Metazoa; Chordata; Actinopteri; Pomacentridae
Exons: 3
Source: RefSeq, a predicted model, not a curated record